GAUGAACGCUGGCGGCGUGCCUAAUACAUGCAAGUAGAACGCUGAAGGAAGGAGCUUGCUCUUUCCGGAUGAGUUGCGAACGGGUGAGUAACGCGUAGGUAACCUGCCUGGUAGCGGGGGAUAACUAUUGGAAACGAUAGCUAAUACCGCAUAACAGUAGAUGUUGCAUGAUAUCUACUUAAAAGGUGCAAUUGCACCACUACCAGAUGGACCUGCGUUGUAUUAGCUAGUUGGUGAGGUAACGGCUCACCAAGGCGACGAUACAUGGCCGACCUGAGAGGGUGAUCGGCCACACUGGGACUGAGACACGGCCCAGACGCCUACGGGAGGCAGCAGUAGGGAAUCUUCGGCAAUGGACGGAAGUCUGACCGAGCAACGCCGCGUGAGUGAAGAAGGUUUUCGAAUCGUAAAGCUCUGUUGUAAGAGAAGAACGAGUGUGAGAGUGGAAAGUUCACACUGUGACGGUAUCUUACCAGAAAGGGACGGCUAACUACGUG
RNAcentral lists this ribosomal RNA (497 nucleotides) under uncultured bacterium. Its description in RNAcentral is "partial 16S ribosomal RNA". It matches the Rfam family "Bacterial small subunit ribosomal RNA", at positions 28 to 507 of the family's 1533-position model. The record is from RNAcentral.